Molecule: ribosomal RNA, 466 nt
Filed under: Vreelandella stevensii
Lineage: Bacteria; Pseudomonadati; Pseudomonadota; Gammaproteobacteria; Oceanospirillales; Halomonadaceae
Description: partial 16S ribosomal RNA
Rfam family: Bacterial small subunit ribosomal RNA
Source: RNAcentral
CCUACGGGUGGCUGCAGUGGGGAAUAUUGGACAAUGGGCGAAAGCCUGAUCCAGCCAUGCCGCGUGUGUGAAGAAGGCCUUCGGGUUGUAAAGCACUUUCAGUGGGGAAGAAAGCCUUGGGGCUAAUACCCUCGAGGAAGGACAUCACCCACAGAAGAAGCACCGGCUAACUCCGUGCCAGCAGCCGCGGUAAUACGGAGGGUGCGAGCGUUAAUCGGAAUUACUGGGCGUAAAGCGCGCGUAGGCGGUCUGAUAAGCCGGUUGUGAAAGCCCCGGGCUCAACCUGGGAACGGCAUCCGGAACUGGCAGGCUAGAGUGCAGGAGAGGAAGGUAGAAUUCCCGGUGUAGCGGUGAAAUGCGUAGAGAUCGGGAGGAAUACCAGUGGCGAAGGCGGCCUUCUGGACUGACACUGACGCUGAGGUGCGAAAGCGUGGGUAGCAAACAGGAUUAGAUUACCCUGGUAGUC